AACGAACGCUGGCGGCAUGCCUAACACAUGCAAGUCGAACGAGACCUUCGGGUCUAGUGGCGCACGGGUGCGUAAUGCGUGGGAAUCUGCCCUUGGGUUCGGAAUAACAGUUAGAAAUGACUGCUAAUACCGGAUGAUGUCUUCGGACCAAAGAUUUAUCGCCCAGGGAUGAGCCCGCGUAGGAUUAGCUAGUUGGUGGGGUAAAGGCCUACCAAGGCGACGAUCCUUAGCUGGUCUGAGAGGAUGAUCAGCCACACUGGGACUGAGACACGGCCCAGACUCCUACGGGAGGCAGCAGUGGGGAAUAUUGGACAAUGGGCGAAAGCCUGAUCCAGCAAUGCCGCGUGAGUGAUGAAGGCCUUAGGGUUGUAAAGCUCUUUUACCCGGGAUGAUAAUGACAGUACCGGGAGAAUAAGCCCCGGGCUAAACUCCGUGCCAGCAGCCGCGGU
RNAcentral lists this ribosomal RNA (449 nucleotides) under uncultured bacterium. Its description in RNAcentral is "bacterial SSU rRNA". It matches the Rfam family "Bacterial small subunit ribosomal RNA", at positions 29 to 521 of the family's 1533-position model. The record is from RNAcentral.